UAACCCAAAUCUUCAAUGUCACGGUUCUAAAACAUGUUUCUGUUGCAUUUCUGUGAAACCUGGUAUGGUAGUUGGUUGCUACAUUUGAUGUUAGCUGAAAAAAGGGAGGAAACCUGUCCCGAUGUCUUAUGCCCCUUUCGACUAGCUCUACUUCAGCAGCCCGGCCUGGUUCCGCUCUACUUCAGAGUGAACGCGUUUCCACAACCCGGAAACUGCAGCAGAGUGCCGCCUCCUGGCGGUGGGGGUUAUAACGCCUCACCUCGAGGCGCCAUGUGUUGUGCUUCCUUACUGUGCGACCUAACGCGAGUUGCUGUUUUUCCUGAGACAAAAUGAGAAGAGCAGAGCAAUUUUUUAUAGCCUGUUUGUGAUCUUUCAAAAAAUUUGAAGACAAUGUGCAGUGGGAGGAAUGCUACAGUUGUGGCGAGGAGGACAGCUGAUCUCCACCUUGAAGCUGGAGGAAUGCAGGUGGCCCAGACAUUGCAGAAUGUUGGUAAACUCGCUGCAGACCAUCAGUGUGGUUCUUCCUGUAGCCUCUGCGUUGGAGGAUGUCUCAUCAGCGUCCGUCUUCCUGACUGCCAGUCGGUGUUUACCUUCAGGUUGCCCAGAGAUCUUCACCUUUCUGGAGCAGGGAUCACAUGAGCUCAAUGUGCUGAUUAAAUAUUUAUAAUAAUAAAAAAAACGUGGCUAAUGUUA
Gambusia affinis (western mosquitofish) is the source of this 693-nucleotide long non-coding RNA. RefSeq lists it as uncharacterized. Lineage: Eukaryota; Metazoa; Chordata; Actinopteri; Cyprinodontiformes; Poeciliidae. The record is from RefSeq and is a predicted model, not a curated record. The transcript is spliced from 2 exons.